AAUGUAAGAUUUUCAUUACAAAAGAGAUCUUUACACAAAUAGUCAAAUAUGUUUUACUGUCAGUUUUUGGUAGCCGGUAUAUCUAAAUUAUACACUAAUUAUACAUAGUUAUACACAUAUAAUGUAUGUGCAAAACAAACACCCUAUGUUAUACAAUAUAUGCAGUUCAGGUAUUGGAAGAAUAUAUGGCCUCUUUCAAGUCUGUAUAUAUCCAUGUUAUAUGAUACAAGUAAGGAGCUGAUAGGAGUUAUCGGUGAAUGGAUAUCCGUGCUAAGUACAUACGCGAUAAAUUUUUACAUUAUCAGUGUAUAAACUCUCUCAUGAGAAUUAUUUAGUAGAAGAAGGAAGUGGUGGAGAAUGAGAUGUAAUCUCUUUACGACCAACAAAGUUCCUUUGAGAAACUUGGCUUGCCAUGUCUGUACGAGAAUUCGUGCCAGGAUUUGAUCCGGGAGAACGAACUGGACGCCAUUGCAGAGAUGGUAAUAGAAGAUAAUGUUCUUUUUCAUGGUCAAGAAAUCUUGCUGCUUCACUUGUUUUCAUGCUUAGGGAUAAAAAAAGUAGCAAGAUUAUACAAACAGUAUGAAAAUAAUUGUUAUUUAGUGUUGCCAUGUUGAUUUAAUUUGACGGAAAAAAAUAAGAUAGGAAUUGAAGGAAUAUAUUUGAUUUUG
Molecule: long non-coding RNA, 668 nt
Filed under: Nicotiana benthamiana
Lineage: Eukaryota; Viridiplantae; Streptophyta; Magnoliopsida; Solanales; Solanaceae
Description: long non-coding RNA (NBEN_LNC040107)
Source: RNAcentral